GACGAACGCUGGCGGCGUGCCUAAUACAUGCAAGUAGAACGCUGAAGCUUGGUGCUUGCACCGAGCGGAUGAGUUGCGAACGGGUGAGUAACGCGUAGGUAACCUGCCUGGUAGCGGGGGAUAACUAUUGGAAACGAUAGCUAAUACCGCAUAAGAGUAGAUGUUGCAUGACAUUUGCUUAAAAGGUGCAAUUGCAUCACUACCAGAUGGACCUGCGUUGUAUUAGCUAGUUGGUGAGGUAACGGCUCACCAAGGCAACGAUACAUAGCCGACCUGAGAGGGAUGUCGGCCACACUGGGACUGAGACACGGCCCAGACUCCUACGGGGGGCAGCAGUAGGGAAUCUUCGGCAAUGGACGGAAGUCUGACCGAGCAACGCCGCGUGAGUGAAGAAGGUUUUCGGAUCGUAAAGCUCUGUUGUAAGAGAAGAACGAGUGUGAGAGUGGAAAGUUCACACUGUGACGUUAUCUUACCAGAAAGGGACGGCUAACUACGUG
This 497-nucleotide ribosomal RNA is filed under the name uncultured bacterium. RNAcentral describes it as "partial 16S ribosomal RNA". It matches the Rfam family "Bacterial small subunit ribosomal RNA", at positions 28 to 507 of the family's 1533-position model. The record is from RNAcentral.